GAGAGGAACUCUCUCUUCUAUAUGAACUAUUUCCUGCCACUGAGAGGUCUUCGCAUAAUUUCUUAGCAAAAACUUCUCCAUGGAAAUCGUCACACUUCCAGAUGUAAAUAUGACUAAUCUACCUUUGAGUUGCAAAGAAAACUCUACUAGUAAAGAAAAAAUAAAGUUGCAGUGAUGUUGGCAUUGGGGGCUGGACAAUUUGUGGUUGUGGAGGUUGUUUUGUGUUAUUCGACAUCCUAUCUUCAGCACAGGAAAUGGCAAUCAUGACAAUAGCACCUCCCACUAGUUGUACCCUCACUAAGCUUCUAAAGUCUGGCUCCUUUGGGUAUCAGUGCUGCUAACUCCGAGCCUCUGCAUUCACUUGUGACCCUGGCUGAUCCUUGAAGAAUCGGGGAUUCAUUUUCUCGGUAAUUCUGUUUCAACUCCUGAAUGUGAGAGAUAAAGGAGCAACCUGCCCACUCAUAGCAGGACAGACUCAGCCUUUGCCCUCUGGACUACUCUUUUAGACUCAGGAUGAGUCUCUGCAUCUGCAUUCCUGAUAUAUCAAUACCAAGAAGACUGGUCAU
This is a long non-coding RNA of Mus musculus (house mouse), 566 nucleotides long. RefSeq annotates it as predicted gene, 35397. The record is from RefSeq and is a predicted model, not a curated record. The transcript has 4 exons. Lineage: Eukaryota; Metazoa; Chordata; Mammalia; Rodentia; Muridae.